Molecule: transfer RNA, 90 nt
Filed under: Mycobacterium lentiflavum
Lineage: Bacteria; Bacillati; Actinomycetota; Actinomycetes; Mycobacteriales; Mycobacteriaceae
Description: tRNA-Gly
Source: RNAcentral
GGCCCAGCGGGUUGCGGCGACCAUGGCGCUCCGCCAGAUCGCCGGCGUCGAUGUCGACGGCGAUGACCCGGUCGCCGCGCGCCUCGGCCA